Thalassophryne amazonica is the source of this 678-nucleotide long non-coding RNA. RefSeq lists it as uncharacterized. The record is from RefSeq and is a predicted model, not a curated record. The transcript is spliced from 2 exons. NCBI's taxonomy places the organism in Eukaryota, Metazoa, Chordata, Actinopteri, Batrachoidiformes, Batrachoididae.
AGGAAUAAGGACACUCGGCUUUGGCCAUGACUCAAAUGUGGGGGUCACGACAGCCGACGGUAACCUGAAUGAGCUUAUACAUAAACUGCCCGUUUUGCGACUCAAAAAGUCAGUUUGCUUGCUGUCGAGAACAAAGUGCGCCUGAUAAAGGCAGACGGCUCACUGGAGAAACGGGCUAUUAUGAGGAGGAGUUCGGCACUGUGUCACUAACAAUGGAGCAAACAAAGGAUCUGUUGUCUUCCCAAACCGGACGAACGCAAAACCAGAUGUUGAGUCUGUGCUGUGGCAUUAGCUGGCAGCCAGCAUGAAAAAGUCAUUUGUGAGUGUUCUGAUUGCUCCUUACGAACAAACAAACAGGCACCGGCAGCACGACUAUCUGAGGAAGAUCUCGCGCAAAGCAGAACGGAUGAUCUGGGAGGACAGCGCCACAUCUGGUUGUCGUUAAAGGCUUGUUUUGCUGCGUCCUGCAGACUCGGUGCCAUAGGCUCCAACUGCUCCAGCAAGAAGGGUUCAUACUGACUUGAAACCAACAAGUGGUGCCUGGAAGACUCCCCACAGAGGUCAGCGUCGGGACUCACCGGCCCAGGAGACAAUGGAUCAGGACUCGGCAGACUGAGCCGUGAAACAAACACUGGAGCGGUUCGAAGCAGAGACACAGAGUAGGAUGUUAGCCACGUG